AAGUAGCCCAUCAGGCAUAUCAGGACCUGACGUCACUCGUCUUUGAUAAAAGGCUUUUGAAAGAUCUUCAGAAGAUGGCCCUCUUCAAACAUACUGGGCCACUGGAGAUCUUUCACAGAGCUCUCCUGAAGUACCUCCCUAAAUGCCAGGCCUUCUCCUACGAGGGAGAGGGCCUACCUCGCCAUCAUGGAACAUAAUGAGAACAUUGUGGCACGAGAACAAGCCACCACGGCAACAGGAGAACCACACGUCAAGCAGGUCUUCUGCAAAAAGUCAAAGCAAUGGAUAGUCAAGAAAAUCUAUAAGCCACACACCACCAAGUUCAUCCAGACACUAAUUGAGAAGGUCAUAGAAAACAGACGCAACCCAAACAUACCAUUCAAAGACUCAACCGCUUCACUCACCCAACCACAACCUCCUUUUCCACCUAACAUUGCCCCUGUCCCAAAGCGUCAAAUAAAGCUGCAACAUCAUCAUUCAAGAGCCGCUUCUGAGACGUCAGCUCUACAUUAACCCAUUCCUCACAAAUAUUUUGUAAUAUUACCAUGUCUUAUGUCUUUGUCUUAUAUGGUCUUUUGACCUUAUCCUUGCACUACCUUACCUGUUUGCACUGCCAUUGAGCACCUUACUAUACAUACUCAAUCACAGGGUCAAUACCUCUAAAGUGUGGAUAAUUUUGUUUGUGUGUUUUGAUGUUCAUGACACAAUUCUUUCUUUGUGAUUUAAAAACAAAAUGUCACUUGUGCUCUCCUGUCUGCCUUCAAC
Alosa sapidissima (American shad) is the source of this 765-nucleotide long non-coding RNA. RefSeq lists it as uncharacterized. The transcript is spliced from 3 exons. The record is from RefSeq and is a predicted model, not a curated record. NCBI's taxonomy places the organism in Eukaryota, Metazoa, Chordata, Actinopteri, Clupeiformes, Clupeidae.